ACCUACUUCGCUGAAGCUUUAGCACGCCGCAUCUACAGGCUCUACCCGAAGAAUCCUCUUCAUCAUUAUCUCUCCGACAUGUUUCAAAUCCAUUUUUAUGAGACCUGCCCUUACCUCAAGUUUGUACACUUCACCGCAAAUCAAGCUCUUUUCGAAGCUUUCAAAAGAAAGAAUUGCGUCCACGUCAUCGAUUUUGGCAUUAACCAAGGGAUGCAGUGGCUAGCGUUGAUGUAGGCAUUCACCUUGCACCCUGGCGAUCCUCCGGCUUUUCGAUUAAACAGAAUCGAACCUCCCGCCACAGAUAACUCUGAUCACCUCCAAUAGAGGUUUCAUUGCGAAUAACCUCACAGAUCUUGACGCUUCGAAGCUACUCGUGUUAGUCGACAUCUCCAUCAUCGCUUUUGCCUGACGCUUCUACUGCCCUUUUUGGCAAGGAUAAACUUGAUGGUCCUCUGUGCAUCAACUAAUGACUUGGUAGCUAUGCUGACUGGGCACGAAACAGUUCCAUUUGGCUGCUUCACGCCUCUGACCGGUCCAUACACAAGAGUGUGCCUAGGGAAUGUGAACGUUUGGAUUCUCGUGGAGCAAGAUAAGUAGCUUGUUCUUCAAGUAAGCAAAUUAUAAAGCCCCAAGAGGGUCCUCCCUCGGGACUGACUGUGUACACUCCUGUUAUAUUCUGGUUUCGUUUGGGGUCCUCCCUUGGAAAUGAACUUUCAUGCAGGAGUGGACCCAUGGGUAUGGAGAAUUAUCUAUAAACCUGGAUCUUAUUGAGAUUUGUUAUUUCACCCCUUUUGGGGACAUCAUUUUAGGUGUUCAGAUUCCUGGUGAGCCCUCACGAGAUAGGGACACGACUCGUGGAUAGAGAGGUUGCGACAGACCAAAUUUGGAGUAGCUGUAGUCUACUGAUUUUGAUGGUUAUUUAUGUGGUUUCAGUAUUUUGUUAUUUUGGGAUCAAGAUGUCUGAUCCAUUCCUUGUAUAUGGCCUGUAUAUGUUUUGUACAUGUCUUUCAGUUUUGAUGCAUGUUCAAUUAAGUAUUCGGGCACAUUUAUAUUAUGAUGUAGUAUUUAGUUAUAUGUUUACAUGUUGGAUUUGCAUGCUGUUAGACAUAGUGGCACAGAGCCAAGUUAUGCAUGCACCCAUG
Gastrolobium bilobum is the source of this 1142-nucleotide long non-coding RNA. RefSeq lists it as uncharacterized. The record is from RefSeq and is a predicted model, not a curated record. The transcript is spliced from 4 exons. Lineage: Eukaryota; Viridiplantae; Streptophyta; Magnoliopsida; Fabales; Fabaceae.